UACGUAGGGUGCAAGCGUUGUCCGGAAUUAUUGGGCGUAAAGAGCUCGUAGGCGGUCUGUCGCGUCGGCUGUGAAAUCCCGAGGCUCAACCUCGGGUCUGCAGUCGAUACGGGCAAACUGGAGUGUUGCAGGGGAGACUGGAAUUCCAGGUGUAGCGGUGAAAUGCGUAGAUAUCUGGAGGAACACCGGUGGCGAAGGCGGCGUUCUGGACUGCAACUGACACUGAGGAACGAAAGCCAGGGGAGCAAACGGG
RNAcentral lists this ribosomal RNA (253 nucleotides) under uncultured bacterium. RNAcentral's name for it is "partial 16S ribosomal RNA". It matches the Rfam family "Bacterial small subunit ribosomal RNA", at positions 524 to 776 of the family's 1533-position model. The record is from RNAcentral.